AUUGAACGCUGGCGGCAUGCCUUACACAUGCAAGUCGAACGGCAGCACGGGAGCAAUCCUGGUGGCGAGUGGCGAACGGGUGAGUAAAGUAUCGGAACGUGCCCAGUCGUGGGGGAUAACGUAGCGAAAGUUACGCUAAUACCGCAUACGAUCUAUGGAUGAAAGCGGGGGAUCGCAAGACCUCGCGCGAUUGGAGCGGCCGAUAUCAGAUUAGGUAGUUGGUGGGGUAAAGGCUCACCAAGCCGACGAUCUGUAGCUGGUCUGAGAGGACGACCAGGCACACUGGGACUGAGACACGGCCCAGACUCCUACGGGAGGCAGCAGUGGGGAAUUUUGGACAAUGGGCGAAAGCCUGAUCCAGCCAUGCCGCGUGCAGGAUGAAGGCCUUCGGGUUGUAAACUGCUCUUGUACGGAACGAAAAGGUUUGGGCUAAUAAGCUGAGCUCAUGACGGUACCGUAAGAAUAAGCACCGGCUAACUACGUGCCAGCAGCCGCCGUAA
RNAcentral lists this ribosomal RNA (500 nucleotides) under uncultured bacterium. RNAcentral's name for it is "partial 16S ribosomal RNA". It matches the Rfam family "Bacterial small subunit ribosomal RNA", at positions 30 to 523 of the family's 1533-position model. The record is from RNAcentral.